UACGUAGGUGGCAAGCGUUGUCCGGAUUUACUGGGCGUAAAGCGCACGUAGGCGGGUCAUCAAGUCGGAUGUGAAAUCCCUCGGCUUAACCGAGGACGUGCAUACGAAACUGACGACCUUGAGUACGAAAGAGGAUCGCGGAAUUCCCGGUGUAGAGGUGAAAUUCGUAGAUAUCGGGAGGAACACCAGUGGCGAAGGCGGCGAUCUGGGUCGAUACUGACGCUGAGGUGCGAAAGCGUGGGGAGCAAACAGG
This 253-nucleotide ribosomal RNA is filed under the name uncultured bacterium. RNAcentral describes it as "partial 16S ribosomal RNA". It matches the Rfam family "Bacterial small subunit ribosomal RNA", at positions 524 to 776 of the family's 1533-position model. The record is from RNAcentral.